Molecule: long non-coding RNA, 699 nt
Organism: Epinephelus moara (kelp grouper)
Lineage: Eukaryota; Metazoa; Chordata; Actinopteri; Perciformes; Serranidae
Exons: 3
Source: RefSeq, a predicted model, not a curated record
GACAUACUAUUGGGUCUCAGGCUACGGAGGAUGCACCGCGACUAUCCUUCGUGGCCUCCCAUAUCCCAAGAUGCUUUUCGCGCCUCUGUUCAAGGCUUUUCCUCACAACGGCGGCAAGCACCGGCACCAGUAGCAGUACUAAAUACACCUUAAAAUGGAGCAAGGAGCAAACGGAGGAGUUUAUUAAACUCCGUGGUGAAAACAACCACCUGUUCACAGGGGCCAGGAAUAAAGCCACACUCGGAUGGAGAACAGUCCGUCAUAAAAUGGUCCUGGAGGGAAGAGUGGAGCCUCAACAGGCAAAAAAAGUGGGACAACUUAAAAAAAAAUACAAAUAAAGUAUGUGCAGGUUUGGAUAAUGAUAUGGAAACUACAUUUGUUUUACCCAAGUUAAUACUUUGAUAAAGAAACGUAGAAAAAACACCAAGGCACUCUGCCAUAGUAGUUACAGAGCCUUUAUUCUUUAUUCCUUGAAUCUGUUUAACUUCCUGAUGAAGGCUUGAUGCUGAAAUGUGUCGAAGGACUGUGUUUUUAAGGUUUAUAUGACCAUGCCAUAAGAAUAAAGGCAUUUAACUGCUUUGGGAGAAAAAACUCCAAGGCCUUGGAGUUUUUUCUUGGUCCAAGGCCUUGGAGUUUUUUCUUUGUUUCUUUAUCACUACAUGAAUCCCAUUCCAAAGAGCACCUCAAACAUACCUCUUU